UGGGGAAUAUUGCACAAUGGGCGAAAGCCUGAUGCAGCGACGCCGCGUGAGGGAUGACGGCCUUCGGGUUGUAAACCUCUUUCAGUAGGGACGAAGCGCAAGUGACGGUACCUGCAGAAGAAGCACCGGCUAACUACGUGCCAGCAUCCGCGGUAAUACGUAGGGUGCGAGCGUUGUCCGGAAUUACUGGGCGUAAUGAGCUCGUAGGCGGUUUGUCACGUCGUCUGUGAAAUCCUAGGGCUUAACCCUGGACGUGUAGGCGAUACGGGCUGACUUGAGUACUACAGGGGAGACUGGAAUUUCUGGUGUAGCGGUGGAAUGCACAGAUAUCAGGAAGAAAGCCGAUGGCGAAGGCAGGUCUCUGGGUAGUAACUGACGCUGAGGAGCGAAAGCAUGGGUAGCGAACAGG
Molecule: ribosomal RNA, 409 nt
Filed under: bacterium
Lineage: Bacteria
Description: partial 16S ribosomal RNA
Rfam family: Bacterial small subunit ribosomal RNA
Source: RNAcentral